Molecule: long non-coding RNA, 716 nt
Organism: Rattus norvegicus (Norway rat)
Lineage: Eukaryota; Metazoa; Chordata; Mammalia; Rodentia; Muridae
Source: RefSeq, a predicted model, not a curated record
AGACAACUACACAGAGAAGGUGGAAAGAGUGCGGAAAGCCAGGGCUUCCGAGACCCACCAGGGCUGGUGCACACACGGACUUAGAGACAGAAGCAGCACCCACAGAGGCUGCACUGGUCUGUACCGGAAUGAGUCCUAGAGCUGAGAGAAGCAGACACAGGCUCCCAUUGCCUUGUCCAGAAGCUAUCUCCAACUGACAAACGAGAAAUCCGAUCUUUUCAAGGCAGUCUCACUGGGGAAACGAACCGCUCUUAAGGGAAAAAAAUUAAACCUGUCUGGCGAGUGAAGUCCAAGAAUGGAUGGAUCAGGCAUGCAUGCCAGGCCAAGGUAAAGGGGCCGCCAACUGAUCAGUCACCUGACACCCAGUGUGGACCAGCAAACAGGAUUCCCAUCAUCCCUCUGGUUCAUCUCCAUGCCACCGCCCACUCAGUGGUCACCUGCCCAGUGCUCUUCCCUCCUCAGGACCUCGUCCAGUCACCUCCUCUUUACUUCUGCAGUGAGCUCACCUCUACAGCUCUGACUUCAACCCUGGCUCCGCAGUGGCUGAUUCUACAGCGGCUGCUUCUUCUGCAGAUGGCGUAUCAAUACAGGAUCGGUUUACACUUCUACCACCCUGCUUCAGAAAACCCUUAUGCUUCCGCUGGAGCCUUUGAAACUUUUGUGCGCAUUCCGUGACCAGCGUAUAUGUAUAAUAUAAUAUCUCUCUGAAAGACCUA